GAGGAAGGGAUAGCGAAUUCGUGGCCUUACGGACAGAUACCUGAUAUAAGGUGGCUAGAGGUGGACAAGUUGGCAAAGGACAACAAAGUUCCAAGUAGGUAACCGUAACCCUUUAGGCAUAAAUCAGGAAGGUAAACGAAGAAAGAAG
This 148-nucleotide non-coding RNA is filed under the name pig gut metagenome. The record is from RNAcentral.